Non-coding RNA from Camellia sinensis, 789 nucleotides. The record is from RefSeq and is a predicted model, not a curated record. NCBI's taxonomy places the organism in Eukaryota, Viridiplantae, Streptophyta, Magnoliopsida, Ericales, Theaceae.
UAGUGAUAUAGAUUGGCGCCCAAGUCUGAAGCAGAAUAGGAAUACAAAAAGUUUCAAAUCUCUCUCUCACAGAGAAUCUCAGGCACCACCAAACCUCACCUCCUCACCGCAGUCGCUCACCACCAUGAAGCAGACCUGCAUUGCACAUCGCCACAGCCACCGCCACAAAUCACCACCCUCUCUCUCCAUUUCUCACUCUUGCUCUAGGGUUUGAUAUUCUUCCUUUAUUUCCCCCAUUUCUCACUCUUGCUCUAGGGUUUGAUAUUCUUCCUCUAUUUUCCCAUUUCCAACUCUUGCUCUAGGGUUUGAAAUGAUUUAUUUAGUUUAAUUUUGUGUUGAUUUCUUAAAUGGGUUUAGUUUAAUUGGUUUGAUUUCUAGAGUUUUAUGGGUUUGAUGUUGAUUUCAUAAUUUCAUGAUUCAUUUGACUGGGUUUGUGUUUGUUCUUCUGUGAAAUUUCAAAACUCUUUGUUUCAGAUUUUGAUUCUUAAGUUGAUGGUUGGUGCUAUCUUUUCUGUCUCAAAAGGCAUAUAUGUAUGGGGUUCUUUAAGAACAAGCGCAUUGUCCUUUACGACACUUUGAUUCAAUAGAUUCUCACAUUCUUGCAAUUUGGAGGAUACACUCUUGUGAGGAACUAGAAGGAUCUAUUUCAGAGUUUUGGGGAUGACACACAACCAGUCCUCAUUGGCCUGAUCAUUAUCCAGGUAUUUAUUCAUCAAAUAAUAAAUGUCACGGAGGAAUGCUGCAUGUGCAUGAGUUGAGCACAUUAUAGCACUAGACUUCUUGUCAAAA